CAGUAGCCGCGGUAAAACGAAGGGUGCAAGCGUUAAUCGGAAUUACUGGGCGUAAAGCGUGCGUAGGCGGUUUGUUAAGUCUGUUGUGAAAUCCCCGGGCUCAACCUGGGAAUGGCAGUGGAUACUGGCUCGCUAGAGUGUGUCAGAGGAUGGUGGAAUUCCCGGUGUAGCGGUGAAAUGCGUAGAGAUCGGGAGGAACAUCAGUGGCGAAGGCGGCCAUCUGGGACAACACUGACGCUGAGGCACGAAAGCGUGGGGAGCAAACAGGAUUAGAUACCCGCGUAGUCCCUGUCUCUUAUAC
RNAcentral lists this ribosomal RNA (301 nucleotides) under uncultured bacterium. RNAcentral describes it as "partial 16S ribosomal RNA". It matches the Rfam family "Bacterial small subunit ribosomal RNA", at positions 509 to 807 of the family's 1533-position model. The record is from RNAcentral.